GGUUUUAUAGUGUAAAAAACACAACGGGUUGUAAAUCUGUUAAUGCUGAGGCUAGGACUA
Molecule: transfer RNA, 60 nt
Filed under: Eurythenes magellanicus
Lineage: Eukaryota; Metazoa; Arthropoda; Malacostraca; Amphipoda; Lysianassidae
Description: tRNA-Tyr
Source: RNAcentral